Molecule: ribosomal RNA, 229 nt
Filed under: uncultured bacterium
Lineage: Bacteria
Description: partial 16S ribosomal RNA
Rfam family: Bacterial small subunit ribosomal RNA
Source: RNAcentral
CGGGGUGAGUAAUGUCUGGGAAACUGCCUGAUGGAGGGGGAUAACUGCUGGAACCGGUAGCUAAUACCGCAUAACGUCGCAAGACCAAAGAGGGGGACCUUCGGGCCUCUUGCCAUCGGAUGUGCCCAGAUGGGAUUAGCUAGUAGGUGGGGUAACGGCUCACCUAGGCGACGAUCCCUAGCUGGUCUGAGAGGAUGGCCAGCCACACUGGAACUGAGACACGGUCCAG